RNAcentral lists this ribosomal RNA (429 nucleotides) under Chloroflexota bacterium. Its description in RNAcentral is "Chloroflexi bacterium partial 16S ribosomal RNA". It matches the Rfam family "Bacterial small subunit ribosomal RNA", at positions 355 to 776 of the family's 1533-position model. Lineage: Bacteria; Bacillati; Chloroflexota. The record is from RNAcentral.
UGGGGAAUAUUGCACAAUGGGCGCAAGCCUGAUGCAGCCAUGCCGCGUGUAUGAAGAAGGCCUUCGGGUUGUAAAGUACUUUCAGUCGGGAGGAAGGUGGUAAGGUUAAUAACCUUGGCAAUUGACGUUACCGACAGAAGAAGCACCGGCUAACUCCGUGCCAGCAGCCGCGGUAAUACGGAGGGUGCAAGCGUUAAUCGGAAUUACUGGGCGUAAAGCGCACGCAGGCGGUUGAUUGAGUCAGAUGUGAAAUCCCCGGGCUUAACCCGGGACUUGCAUCUUAUACUGGUCAGCUAGAGUCGUGUAGAGGUGGGUAGAAUUCCAUGUGUAGCGGUGAAAUGCGUUGAGAUGUGUAGGAAUACCGGUGGCGAAAGCGGCCCCCUGGACAAAGACUGACGCUCAGGUGCGAAAGCGUGGGGAGCAAACAGG